AUUAGUUCGGAACUGCUUUGGGGGGAUACGAACGGUAGCUAUACGCAUACGUCGCAGACAAAGAGGGACUCGGCUCUGCAUCAAUGUGCCAGAUGGAUACUAUAGUGGGUACGGNUCACUAGCGAGAUCCUACUGUCUGAAGAUGACACACACUGGAACUGAACCGUCAACUCUACGGAGCAAUGGGAUAUGCCAUGGCGCAAGCUGAUGCAGCCAUGCCGCGUGUUUGAAGAAGGCUUCGGGUUGUAAAGUACUUUCAGCGGGGAGGAGUGUUGUGGGUAAUACCACAGGCAUUGACGUUACCGCAGAAAAAGCACCGGCUAACUCCGUGCCAGCAGCCGCGGGUAAUACGGAGGGUGCAGCCGUUAAUCCGGAAUUACUGGGGCGUAAGCGCAACGCAGGCGGUCUGUCAAGUCGGAUGUUGAAAUCCCCGGGCUCAACCUGGGAACUGCAUUCAAAACUGGGCAGGGCUUAAGUCUUGUAAAAGGGGGGGUAGAAUUCCAGGGUGUAGCGGUGAAAUGCCGUAGAGAUCUGGAGGAAUACCGGUGGGCGAAGGCGGCCCCCCUGGACAAAGACUGACGCUCAAGGUGCGAAAGCGUG
This 600-nucleotide ribosomal RNA is filed under the name uncultured bacterium. Its description in RNAcentral is "bacterial SSU rRNA". It matches the Rfam family "Bacterial small subunit ribosomal RNA", at positions 162 to 763 of the family's 1533-position model. The record is from RNAcentral.